RNAcentral lists this ribosomal RNA (468 nucleotides) under uncultured bacterium. RNAcentral's name for it is "partial 16S ribosomal RNA". It matches the Rfam family "Bacterial small subunit ribosomal RNA", at positions 29 to 507 of the family's 1533-position model. The record is from RNAcentral.
AUGAACGCUGGCGGCGUGCUUAACACAUGCAAGUCGAACGGUGAACACGGAGCUUGCUCUGUGGGAUCAGUGGCGAACGGGUGAGUAACACGUGAGCAACCUGCCCCUGACUCUGGGAUAAGCGCUGGAAACGGCGUCUAAUACUGGAUAUGUGACGUGACCGCAUGGUCUGCGUUUGGAAAGAUUUUUCGGUUGGGGAUGGGCUCGCGGCCUAUCAGCUUGUUGGUGAGGUAAUGGCUCACCAAGGCGUCGACGGGUAGCCGGCCUGAGAGGGUGACCGGCCACACUGGGACUGAGACACGGCCCAGACUCCUACGGGAGGCAGCAGUGGGGAAUAUUGCACAAUGGGCGCAAGCCUGAUGCAGCAACGCCGCGUGAGGGAUGACGGCCUUCGGGUUGUAAACCUCUUUUGGCAGGGAAGAAGCGAAAGUGACGGUACCUGCAGAAAAAGCGCCGGCUAACUACGUG